UACGGAGGGUGCGAGCGUUGUCCGGAAUCACUGGGCGUAAAGGGCGCGUAGGCGGCGCGACAAGUCAAUGGUGAAAGCCCGAGGCUCAACUUCGGGUCGGCCACUGAUACUGUUGGGCUUGAGCACUGUAGAGGCAGGUGGAAUUCCGGGUGUAGCGGUGGAAUGCGUAGAGAUCCGGAAGAACACCGGUGGCGAAGGCGGCCUGCUGGGCAGUAGCUGACGCUGAUGCGCGACAGCGUGGGGAGCAAACAGG
This 253-nucleotide ribosomal RNA is filed under the name uncultured bacterium. RNAcentral's name for it is "partial 16S ribosomal RNA". It matches the Rfam family "Bacterial small subunit ribosomal RNA", at positions 524 to 776 of the family's 1533-position model. The record is from RNAcentral.